RNAcentral lists this long non-coding RNA (8098 nucleotides) under Homo sapiens (human). RNAcentral's name for it is "HSALNT0316894". The record is from RNAcentral. Lineage: Eukaryota; Metazoa; Chordata; Mammalia; Primates; Hominidae.
CUAUACAAAAAAGCACAAAGUAUGUGCUUCACAAGGGACUGGGUUGGGAGAAUAAGAAGUGCCAAUUCCUGGACCCUGGCCCAGCCCUGAGGAUGGGCAUCUGACUGAGCCCUUUGCAGAGUGAGGCUGCAAGCAGAAGCUGAAGGAGCCGUUUUUCUCAAGGGCCCUGUGGAUGUGGAGAAGCCUGCAGGGAUGCUUGGGGGUUCAGAUGACUGCAUGGCACAGAGCCUCCCACAGCUCUGAAGAGCAGUAAGCCAGGUACUGGACAACUAAGCACUGCAGAAAGACCCAGUUGGUCUGGUCCCUCAGGGCAGCAGCUCUGGGGGGCACCGCCACAGCUUUUCACUGUGGAGAUCAGCAGCAGCAGCUAUGGCAGCAUCCUGACCUCACAGGCCUUCCUGCCUUGCAUGGAGGAGCCAGGCAGGAGAGGAGCAAGACCUGUAGAAGCCUGGGUGAUAGAAGACUACUUGUGAGCUGGUGUGAGUCACGCUCAGCAAAGGGGGAAGAAGCAGUAAAAUGGGGUUAGAAUCAUUCCUGGGACUCUGUUUGUAACCAAGGGUUCUAGGGAAGACUGGUUACAGAAGUGAUCUUGGUGUUGAGCACUUAAAGGCCCAAGAUGGACCGGUUCUAUGAAGGUCGGCAGCAUGAGUAUGGUGUCACGACUCAGACAGGAUGAGAGUCAUCAUUGGAUCCCUGGGCCUCUCACCCAGGACCCCAGGUGCCUACCUUUGAAGCUUUCAUCUUCACUCCUGACUGACUGAUUGGGGCUCCAUUGGUGAGCCCGACUCCUGAUCCAAUCCAGGCCUCCAGAUGACAGUCUGUUGAAGAAUGGGCAGCACAGAUUGUGAUUCUUGAGAUUCUGAGUAUACUCUUGAAGCUGGGUUAGUGUCCUAGGCUUCUCUGCUUGUAAGAACUGGGCUAUAAUCCCAGGCAAACAAAAGGCUGGGUUGGAAUCUCAGGUUUCUCUGUAAGAAAGAGGCUGAGUUAGAUUCCCAGGCUUUCCUGUUUUAAGACAUAGAGUUGGGAUUAGAGUGCCAGGCUCCAUUGUUUGUGAGGUAUCAUGAGUUAUGAACAUGGCAGCUUCUCAGUUGACUGAACCUCACCCCAACCUCCUUCUGAAACCCCUGCUGACUAUGUGCUCCACCACCUAGGCACUAACUCUGUCUGCUUCCCUUCUUGUUGAUAUGAUCUUACAAAGGAUAAUUUGGGACUUCCCUAAAGUGGCAUCUCUAAGAUCUCUCUCUUCCUUUUGCCUCCAUUCCUCCUUCCAUUUUUGAUAUGCCCUCCUUUAAACCCCCACCUCCUCCACAUUUUUGUUCAGCCCUGCCAGACUUUUCCCUUCCCACUCCAGGCUCUCAACUACCUACACUCACUGGAGCCCCGUUGGAGACUCUAUGGGACUCAAGAGCCUCCAAAAGCAACUACAAUAUCUUAAAAAUGUCCUCCAUAAUAUUGGUAAAAAAUAUUUUUGCUCUCACAUUGGUCAGGUAGCAACUUGUUCCAUUCACCAAAAACACAAUUUGGAUAAAAAAAUUAAAGUGCAGUAAAGACGAGAGCCAACCAUUUCAUAUAAACCAGAGUUCUGUAUUACUGUGUUUACCUGACUCAUGGCUACAAUUUUAAAAUGGAAGCUAUAAGGUCUCCAUUUGCAUCUAUCUGUAUGUUUAUGUAUGUACAUAUGUAUGUUAUGUAUAUGUGAUACUUUCCUAUCUUCUGAUGGUAUUACCCAAUUAAUUUAUAAAACCCUAUAAAGAAGCUCUAUUCUGACAGGCUUAGGGACAAAUUGCUUAUAUCAAUUAAAUAUUUAUAAAGCUCUCAGAAAUAUAGGAAUUAACCCCAAUUUUUUUUAAGUUCAUGUGACUUUGGGAAAUAUUUGUUAGAUAAAACCAGUUUAAAAUUGUUGAUUGAAUAAAACAGCUGUCUUCUGAGUUAUCACAUGUAUUAAAUUCAUGUGAGUGGAAUCAAAAUUUUAUAAAUGAACUUUUUGACAAUAAUUAUGUUUUAUAAUAUCUGCCUAAAAAUGCUUUCCACAAUCUUUUUGGUAACUUGCAAUCUUAAAAUUAUGCUAAGUAAUACAUAUUCAUUAACUAUCUAGAUUAUUUCUAAGUCAGAUAAACCACUGAAAAUUUAUUUUUAAGCAUAAGUUUAAUUUUAUAUACUUUUGGCUUCUUAUUUUUAUAUCAUAUAGAGAGGCUACAUAUAUUUAGGUCUGUUACUAAACAUUCUUUUUGCCACAUUAAAACAAUUGUAUUACGAGGAAGCACAUACCUAUAAAAAUUGUGAGAUGGUAUAUUCAUAAAAUUUGCUGAUCUGCUACAGAAUGUUGGUACUUGACAGACAACUCACAAUUGUCUAUAACCUAGUUUUUUCUGUUACCAAAAAAAGAGGUUACUUAUGGUUAAAAAUUUUAAUCAACAUAUGUAAAUAAAGCUACUAGAACUAAUAAAGAUAAAGGGAAAUGACUUGCAAGCACAAUUUGCAAAGCAGGAAGAAUGUGUUUUUGUAUGGGAAAAAUAAAAAUAACUGUCUUAAAGUGAAAUGACUGGCUGUUCCAGAAUAAGAAAGAGGAAAACAUAGAACAAAAUGAAAUAGAUAUAAAAAAUUGUAAAAGGAAUAUUGGGCCAGAGCAAUUAGGCAAGACAAACAAACAAAGGGCAUCCAAAUUGGAAAGAAAGAAGUCAAAUUAGCCUUGUUUGCAGAUGACGUAACCUUGGACCUAGAAAAAUUGAAAGACUCCACUAAAACACUGAUAAAACUAAUAAACAAAUUCAGUAAAGUUUCAGGAUACAAAAUCAACAUACAAACUGAGCGUAGUGGCUCACGUUUGUAAUUCCAGCACUUUGAGAGUACAAGGUGAGUGGAUUGCUUGAGCCCAGGAGUUUGAUGCCAGCCUGGGCAAUAUGGCAAAACCCAGUCUCAACCAAAAAAUUUAAAAAUUAACCAUGUGUGGUGGCGUGCACCUAUAGUCCCACCUAACUUGUGAGGCUGAGGUUGGGAGGGUUGCUUGAGCCCAGGAGCUCAAGACUGCGGUGAGCCAUGAUUGUGCCACUACACUCUAGCCUGGGUGACAGAACGAGACAGUGUCUAAAAAAAAAAAAAAAAAAAGAAGACCAAACAAAAAAAUACAAAUACAUACAAAAAUCAGUAGCAUUUAUAUACCCAAUAGCAAACAAUUUGAAAAAGAACUCAAGAAAGCCAUCCCAUUUACAAUAGCUACAAAAAAUAUAAAAUAUCUAGGAAUCCUUUUAACCAAAGAAGCGAAAGAUCUGUAUAAGGAAAACUAUAAAACUCUGAUGAAAGAAAUGGCAGAAGACACCAAAAAAUGAAAGAUAUUUUAUACUCAUGGAUCAGAAAAAUUAAUAUUGUUAGAAUGACAAUACUCAAAGCAAUUUACAGAUUUAAUGCAAUCCCUAUCAAAAUACUAAUGUUAUAUGCCUACUAUGUACCCAUAAAAAUGUUUUCAAUUUUUUUUAAAGAUAAAAUAAAAUAGGUCGGGCGUGGUGGCUCAUGCCUGUAAUCCUAGCACUUUGGGAGGCCGAGGCGGGUGGAUCAUGAGGUCAGGAGAUCGAGACCAUCCUGGCUAACACGGUGAAACCCCGUCUCUACUGAAAAUACAAUAAAAAUUAGCCAGGUGUGGUGGCAGGCGCCUGUAGUCUCAGCUACUGGGGAGGCUGAGGCAGGAGAAUGGCGUGAACCUGGGAGGUGGAGCUUGCAGUGAGCCGAGAUAGCGCCACUGCACUCCAGCCUGGGCGGCAGAGCAAGACUCUGUCUCAAUAAAUAAAUAAAUAAAUAAAUAAAUAAAUAAAUAAAUAAAUAAAUAAAAUAAAACAAAAUAAAACAAUGACAUAUUCACAGAAAUAGAAAAAAAAAUCCUAAAAUUUAUAUGAAACUACAAAAGACCUCAAAUAGCCAAAGCAAUUCUGAGCAAAAAGAACGAAGCUGGAGGUGCCACACUAUCUGACUUCAAAUUUUACUACAAAGCCAUAGUAACCAAAAUAGACUGGCAUAAAAAUAGACACACAGACCAAUGGAACAGAAUAGAGAAACCUGAUAUAAAUCCACACAUUUAAAACCAAGUCAUCUUUGACAAAGUCACCAAGAACAUACAGUAGGGAAAGGACAGUCUUUUCAAUAAAUGGUACUGGGAAAACUGGAUAAUUAUAUGCAGAAACAUGACUAUAAACUCCUGUCCCUCACGUGAGCAAAUCAAAAUGAAUUAAAGACUUAAAUCUAAGACCUGAAACUAUGAAACUACUAGAAGAAAACAUAGGGGAAAUGCUCCAGGACCUCGGUCAGGGCAAAGAUUUCCUGUGUAAGACCUCAAAAGCGAAGGGAACUAAAACAAAAAUAGACAACUGCGAUUAUAUCAAGCUAAUAAGCUUCUGCACAACAAAGGAAACAAUCAACAAAGAAAAAGGAACACACAAAAUGGGAGAAAAUAUUUGCAAACUAUCCAUCUGCAAGGGAUUAGUAACCAGAAUAUAUAAGGAGCUCAAACAACUCAAUAGCAAAACACAAAGUAUCUGAUUAAAGAAUGGGCAAAAGAUCUGAACAAACAUUUUCUUUUUGCAGGGGAGGUGGUGAGACAGAGUUGUGCUCUGUUCCCCAAAGUGGAGUGUAGUGGUGUGAUUUCAGGUCAUGCAACCUUUGCUUUGCAGUGAACAGACAUUUUUCAAAAGAAGACAUACAAGUAGCCAACAGCUAUAUGAAAAGAAAUGCUCAAUUCAACAUCACUAAUCAUCAGAGAAAUGCAAAUAAAAAUAACAACAAGAUAUCAUCUCAUUCCACUUGAAAUGGCUUGUAUCAAAAAGACAGGAAAUUAACAGAUGCCAGUGAGGAUACUAUGAGGAGAUGCUCAUAAUUCCAUGGAAAAGGGAAACCCUCAUACAUUGUUAGUAGGAAUACAAAUUCCUAGUACAACCACAAUGGAGAACAGUAUAAAGGCUCCUAAAAAAACUAAAAAUAGAAUUACUAUAUGACCCAGCCAUCCCACUAUCGGGUAUAUAACCAAAAGCAAGGGAAUCGUCCAAGAGAUAUAUGUGUACUCUCAUGUUUAUUGCAGCACUAUUCACAAUAGCCAGAAUAUAUAAUCAGUCAAAGUGCCCAUCAGUGGAUGAAUGAACAAAGAAAAUGUGGUAUAUAUACACAGUGGAAUAUUAUUCAGCCAUAAAAAAAUAAGAUCCUGUCAUUUGCAGCAACACAGAUGGAACUAUAAACCAUUAUGUUAGGUGAAAUAAGCUAAGCACAGAAAGAUAAAUAUUUCAUGUUCUCAUUCAUAUGUAGGAGCUGAAAACAUGUAUUUCAUGAAGAUAGAGAGUAGACUGGUAGUUAUCAAAGGCUGGGAAGGGGAGGGGGAGGAGGAGGUGAAAGGCAAAAAAAUUAUAUAUAUAUUAAAAAAUAUAUAAAUGUACUUAUUACCACUGAACUGUACAUUUAAGAUGGUAAAUAUAGUAAGUAAUAUAUGUAUAUUUUCCCUCAAUAAAAGUAAAUUUUAGAAAGGGAUAUUGGAAAAGAAAUCUUAUCUUGUGCAAUCAAAACUGGGUAAGAGUAAACAGAUUUAUAAAGUGUUUAAAAAAUGGGCUUCAGUAAAAGUGCUAAGCCUUUUUUUUUUUAGCAAUUUUGUUUCUACAUAUAUUUACUUUUGAAUUCUUUUACUAUCACUUUGGUUAAGCUGGUAACUAAGUAUUGUUUCACAGUGGCCUAGAGUUCUAUUUAGUUAACUGUUCAAACCUCUUGAUAUUUUUGACAAUUUGGCCUUUCCAAAAUAAAAUCCUAAAUGAAAUCUUGAUCUUGAACUGACCUUGAGAUUUCUCAGGGAGCCCCUGCAAAAUCUCAAAAAAUUUGUUCUUUCACUUUCUAAAAACAGCAAAGUUAAAAAACAAUUAGGUUUAUUUGGUAUGUUGAAUUGCAUGAAAAGCAUUGUUACAUAAAGAGAUGCUUAACCUUCCCUGUGUUAUAUUUGUAUGGGUCAAUGUUAUUAAUAUAAAUAUUUCAGAAAUUGUAUGAAGUUUGUAGAAAUCUGUCAUUGUCCUUGCUGCUCAUAACAUGUACUGGUAAAGUGUUAUCAAUCAUAAUUCCAUCAUUUUAAUAUUUAAAAUGUUGCAUGCCACAGAGACAACCGAAUUUCCUUGUCAUUUGCGUAUUUUUUAUUAUGAACUCUUAGCAGAUCUUUAGCCAUGGUCAUUUUAAGGCUUUUGUCAUUCACUGAUAAUUUUUGUUUUACUCUGAUUCUUCUCUGAAAGCAUUCGCAACCUGCUACAGGCAAGCAUGCUUCAUUUUCAGCAAAAAGGAAUUGUCUCAGAGACUCAUAGAAAGGACUGUCAAGUACUCUGGGCUACAGGAUUCUGAUAGCAUUGUUCACAUAACUUUGAGACCAUAGCACUGGACUGAGUAAGAAUUUCCAUAACUCUAGUGGAGAAGCUUACGGGUUCAUAAAACUGCUAAUCUAAGUGCUAUGGACUGAUGUUUGUAUCAUAUCCAAAGCUCGUAUGUUGAAGUCCUAAUCCCCAAGGUGGCUGUAUUUGGAGAUGGGGCCUCUAAGAAAGUAAUUCAAGUUAAAUGGGUCAUAGGAUGGGGCCCUGAUCUAAUAGGAUUCGUGUUCUUAUAAAAAAGAAACACUAGAGAAUUCAUGCUCGCUCUCCCUCUCUCUCUCUCUCUCUCUCCACAUUUACACAAAGAAGAGGUCAUGUGAGCACACAGUGAGAAAGUGGCCAUCUGCAACCCAAGGGGAGAGCCCUCACCAGACACCAAUCAUGUUGGCACCUCGAUCUUGGCUUUUCAGUCUCCAAACUGUGAGAAGUUUCGUUGCUUAUACUGCCCAGCCUAUGGCAUUUUGUUAUGGUAGCCUGAGCAGACUAAUACAACUAAGAUCAAGCAGAACAAGAAUUAAUUAGAUGAAACGGAAUGAACUGAUGAAGAAUAGUUAUGGCUUUUGUUUGAAAUAUUGUUGCUGGAUUUAAGGAACCCCUUUCUCUUUCCUCUGAAGCUAUCUGUAACUCAUUAAUAGAGUAUGCUUUUGUAAACAGAAUGAAACAUUUACCCUUUAUCCUUGCCUAGACUUUCCAGAAUUUGGAAAGUCAUAUUGAGUAUUCUUAUUUUCACGGUAAUAUAAUUAUUUGCAGAGAUGCAGUCAGAGUCUGUUCUCCUUGAACAGUUCAGAGGUUCCUCAGAAAACUCAAAAUAGAGCUACCAUAUGAUCCAGCAAUCCUACUACUGGGUAUAAGCCCAAAAGAAAGGAAAUCGGUCUAUCAAAGAGAUAUCUGCACCCCCAUGUUUGUUGCAGCACUAUUCACAAUAGCCAAAAUUUAGAAGUAACCUAAGUAUCCAUCAACAGAUGAAUGGAUAAAGAAACUGUGGUACAUAUACACAAUGGAGUAUUAUUUAUCCAUUAAAAAGAAUGAGACCCUGUCAUUUGCAACAACAUGGAUGGAACUAGAGAUCAUUAUUAUAAGUGAAAUAUGCCAGGCACAGAAAGACAAACGUCACAUGUUCUUACUUAUUUGUGGGAUCUAAAAAUCAAAACAGGCUGGGCACAGUGGCUCACACCAGCACUUUGGGAGGCUGAUGCGGGCAGAUUAGUCGAGGUCAGGAGUUCAAGACCAGCCUGACCAACAUGGUGAAACCCCAUCUCUACUAAAAUACAAAAAUUAGCCAGGCGUGGUGGCAGGCACCUGUAAUCUCAGCUACUUAGGAGUCUGAGGCAGGAGAAUCACUUGAACGCAGGAGGCAGAGGUUGCGGUUAGCCAAGAUCAUGCCACUGCAUUCCAGCCUGGGCAACAGAGGGAGACUCCCUCUCAAAAAAUAAAUAAAUAAAUACAUAAAAAUAAAAACAAUUGAACACAUGGAGAUAGUAGAAGGAUGGUUAUCAGAGGCUGGGAAGGGUAGCAGGAGAAUGAUGGGGGGAGGUGGGGAUGGUUAAUGGGUGCAAAAAAAAAGAAUGAAUGAAUGAGUAAGACCUGGUAUUGAAGAGCACAACAGGGUGACUAUAGGCAAUAAUAAUUUGAUUGUACAUUUGAAAAUAACUAAAAGAGCAUACCCAGCACUUUGGGAGGCCGAGGCGGGCGGAUCACGAGGUCAGGAGAUCGAGACCAUCCCGGCU